RNAcentral lists this microRNA (22 nucleotides) under Gallus gallus (chicken). RNAcentral describes it as "gga-miR-6547-5p". The record is from miRBase by way of RNAcentral. Lineage: Eukaryota; Metazoa; Chordata; Aves; Galliformes; Phasianidae.
GUGGGAUGUGGGGACGGGGUGA